UGGAUCGGAGGUCCCGGUGAUGGUCGGCAUCAACAUGGUACUUCCGGUGCAACCCAGGAGCACUGGGUCAGCUCGACAGGAGUGAACCAACCGCAGGCCGGUGACGGAGCAGGUGACAACUCCCGCGCUGAGUUGUCUGUGCGCAGCCUUCGAGAGUGGAUGCUGCGUUGCUGCAUGGACAAGAUGGCAGGGUGCUGCCUUUUGUGAGGCACUGUUGCUCGCAAAUGAAAGCUUUUUCUUUCAGCCCCCGCUGGCUUUCCCUGCCAUACCGAAAGGAAGCUCCACACUCCCCAUCUGCGAAUCAAACCCCAGUCUCCUACGAGUCAGCUGGGGAUACUCACCACUAUACUAACAAACAGACAGGCCAGCAGGGGGAUCCAGGAGGCACAAGAAUGGCAUGAGUUUGCAGGAGUUCCAGGCAGCCUUGUGAUCUCCGCUUGGCUCCGAGCUACAGACCAACCAGAUGGAGAUGCACUUCAAGAAGGUAGAUGUGUCCUGUGACAGCUUCGUGGACUGGGACAAAUUUUGCUGGGGAGGUACAAGGAAAAGGAGUUGAUCUCUCAAACUAGAGACCCAUUCCUCACCCCUCAGCCACAGAUCAGGCACUGCCAAUAUAAAAAAGCGAGAGCCAACGACUCAUGUCCUGGCAGUGUUUCAACCCCCACUGCUGCACUUGUCUGUCAGCAAAAAGGGCACUCUAAUCACCUGGGACAGCAAUCUGGAAAUAAUGAGGACUCAACAGAAAAACUCCCAGGGGACACCAGUGAAGGAGACAGAAACAAAAGGAAGUUCAGGAACUGGACGACUGACGCUGUCUACAUGCAUAAUGUCCACAGGAUUGCCGUUGUCACCACCAGCAGGGACAUCCACU
Molecule: long non-coding RNA, 871 nt
Organism: Paramormyrops kingsleyae
Lineage: Eukaryota; Metazoa; Chordata; Actinopteri; Osteoglossiformes; Mormyridae
Source: RefSeq, a predicted model, not a curated record